AUUGAACGCUGGCGGCAGGCCUAACACAUGCAAGUCGAGCGGAUGAAGGGAGCUUGCUCCUGGAUUCAGCGGCGGACGGGUGAGUAAUGCCUAGGAAUCUGCCUGGUAGUGGGGGAUAACGUCCGGAAACGGGCGCUAAUACCGCAUACGUCCUGAGGGAGAAAGUGGGGGAUCUUCGGACCUCACGCUAUCAGAUGAGCCUAGGUCGGAUUAGCUAGUUGGUGGGGUAAAGGCCUACCAAGGCGACGAUCCGUAACUGGUCUGAGAGGAUGAUCAGUCAGAGGGGGAUUGAGAAAACGUCCAGACGACUGCGGGAGGCACAAGCAGGGAAGUUCAGGGAAGGGAGAAAAAGGGGAAGGAGCAAUGGCGAGUGGGAGAAGAAGGUGUUUGGAUUGUACAUAAUUUUGACUAGGGAAGAAAAAAUGUGAAAGUAAAUAUGCGCGUAGUGACGGGACGUAAUCAGAAAGCACCGCCUAACGACGGG
Molecule: ribosomal RNA, 484 nt
Filed under: uncultured bacterium
Lineage: Bacteria
Description: partial 16S ribosomal RNA
Rfam family: Bacterial small subunit ribosomal RNA
Source: RNAcentral